This 253-nucleotide ribosomal RNA is filed under the name uncultured bacterium. RNAcentral describes it as "partial 16S ribosomal RNA". It matches the Rfam family "Bacterial small subunit ribosomal RNA", at positions 524 to 776 of the family's 1533-position model. The record is from RNAcentral.
UACGUAGGGUGCAAGCGUUGCCCGGAUUUAUUGGGCGUAAAGGGCGCGUAGGCGGCCCGGCGCGUCCGCGGUGAAAGCUCCCGGCUCAACUGGGAGAGGUCCGCGGAAACGGUCGGGCUGGAGCAAGGUAGGGGGUCGUGGAAUUCCCGGUGUAGUGGUGGAAUGCGUAGAGAUCGGGAGGAACAUCUGUGGCGAAGGCGACUGCCUGGACCAGCACUGACACUGAGGCACGAAAGCGUGGGGAGCAAACAGG